Long non-coding RNA from Betta splendens (Siamese fighting fish), 2677 nucleotides. RefSeq lists it as uncharacterized. Lineage: Eukaryota; Metazoa; Chordata; Actinopteri; Anabantiformes; Osphronemidae. The transcript has 3 exons. The record is from RefSeq and is a predicted model, not a curated record.
UCGCCAUGCUCACUGUCCUUCAUGAGAUCCGCCAGCAUCUGCAGCCAGGUGGUGUCAUAAAGAAGGAUGAAUUCAAGAUUAUAUAUGUGGCUCCAAUGAAGGCCUUGGCAGCAGAGAUGACUAAUUACUUCAGUAAGCGAUUGGAACCACUAGGCAUCACUGUUAAAGAACUCACCGGAGACAUGCAGCUAAGCAAAGGAGAAAUCCUACGAACACAGCUGAUGUCGCUUGAGGAUCCGUUUCAGACGCCUUCUGGAUGCCUACCAGGGGCCUCGUGUACAAAGGGUACUUGCGCAUGAAAACCUGGCGUAAGUACAAAUCUACACCUGCGUUCAGAUGUGUCAAUAACAAUGUUAAGUAAAAAUGUGCGUAGAUCUACAGUAGCUCACUGGUUGGUGUAAGUACUUUUCUACAGCUAUUGGUCUGUUGGCGACACUAAGGGGUGAAACUGGGAAACUGUUAAUCAUGUGAAAACGAUCAUUACGUACAUUGGAGAAAAAUGAAAAACAAUUGUUACAGCCCUGUGUCUGCAAGAUGAGAGGAUAUAAAAACACAAAACGGUGCAAACUUAUAUUUUAUAACAAUGACUCUAGUCCUGUGCGGAACCUGCAGCUGUUUAUCAUCCUGGCAGGUUAUGCUGCUUUCUGGGUUUUAUCACAGUACCACCUGACUGGCACUGCAACACAUCCAGUUGCUAAUGACAUAUCAGCUGUGGCUUUUUUCUUUGCUUUGCUCGGCUUUUAUCUGCCGAUAGAGGUUAAUAACACAAGAGAACCGCUUUUGCCCAUUUUGUGACUGUUGUUGAUAUUUAAUUAGAAAUAUUGUAAGGGUGCACAGUCAAACUAUUCGGCAAACUGGUUCAAUGAAAUUUCUUUCCUUAUAAUCUAAAAAUGCCAAAGGAAAUAAUGAUAGGAUAUUUGAACAUUGAUGGCUGAUGGAAAAAUUAUCAGCUCAGUAGACACCGAUGAGCACAGGGAAAAGAUUCUCUAGUUGGUAGACGAGUCUGUAUUUCACAGUUUUAGUCUAAAUUAAAGCAAUUUAUUACAAAACAACAGGAAACGCCCGUGACCUGGCUAAUACAAUACAGUAGCUACAGUUUGCCGUUUAUACAGCGACAGCUCCAUUAUGCAUACAGUAUUAUGUCCAUCUCAGAGCACCACUAUAAAUUAUUUCUUACUUUUCAUUGCACAUAAUCAAAUUUUUGUUUUAUAAAGUUUUGUUAAUUACCUAAUAUCUUGUCCACUAUUGGUAACAGUACAUGAUAUAAGAGACUUUGUAAUUCUUCACAUUUUACUCAAGUACAAAAGCUAUGACUGCUUUAAUUCAUUGUAUUUUUAUAUAUCCAUUAAUCAUUUUACUAUUAAUAUUUUUGAAUCUAGCAUAAUUAAUACCUCAAUAUCCUGACAUGUACUGAAUGUAUAUGUCAGGAUGAGAAUAAUGUGUUUGUCUUCUUCACAGCAAAUUCUUAUUUUGGAUGGCAGGAGUUUAGUUUGCCCUAGUUUAUGUGGAUGCUUUGGAAUGCAUACAGUGGACUGUAAAUAAGGUUCUAGAUUGUAGUUUGUACUUAGAGCUGAGGUGAGGUGACCAAUCUAAUGGGGCUUUUUAUAGUGGGUAUAGCAGCUGUUUUAAACUGGAUAUACAGUAGAGGGGUAUAGCAUAAAUAGUAAUGAUCAUGAAACCUUGUACAAGUUACAUCAACACUUUCUACUUUCCCAUAAAAAUGAAUCCUUAUGUUGACAUCUUCAAAUAAAGAGUUACCAUUAUUACAUUAUAAUUUUGAUCAUGAAGCUAUAUGAGCAUCUCUGGUGAAUAAAACUGUCUUUUUCCUUUUUAGCCAGCUUAUUUAAGCCUGUAAACAUGCAGAUAAGCAUAGAAAUUAAAUCAUAUUCAAUUAAUUACAGUAUUUAUUGCCAAACUGUUUUAAUAUUUAUAUAGUUUUAAAAUGUUAUUAGUUAUUUUAAUUUAAACAAUCUUUUAAAGGACUGUAGUUCAGACUGUAGAAAUAAAUGUCUUAAACCUUUACUGACCUCAAAAUAUAAACUACUGCUGAGCACACCUUACUAUGACUUAAAUAUUUUAACAGGAUUACUGCUGCUGACAUUUACAUAAAUUGUACCUCCUCACGAGUUAACAGAUCACUACUGACCCUGCUGUUCUGUCACAAAGAAAAUUUUUGAAUUGAAAGGAAUACAAAAUCUAAACUUCAGAUACUUACGAAUUAAAGUCAAGUUAUAUAUAUAUAUAGAAACGAGGAUUGUCUUUCUUUGACUUUUAUUGAGUGCAUUGACUAAUAUGGUCCUAAGUUCAAAUAUAAACCACACAGUGCAGUUAUAAAAUGCCUAGUCUGUCACCACUCUCCUUUCUGUGUUUCAGUUCAAUCCAGUUUGUGUUUAGCACAAAUUUACAACAUGAUAAAUGAUCUGUAAUACUGACCUUGCAGAAAACUAAAUACAAAACUCAACAAAUUUCACUAUUUCUUGUCAGCAGAACAUUACAUAAUACAGUGGCAGCCGGUAAAAGUGUCUACCUCCACCGUGCUUUGCCCCCGAUUGCGACGCGUCAGCGCCUUGUAUGCCCUGCGUGAAGAGUGUGUUACGUCCUUUUGGUCUGUAGGUGGCGACUGACUCCCACUUUUUGUCCUAAAACAACGUUGUUAACUAUGUCAUAUAGCCUCUUG